This 258-nucleotide unclassified non-coding RNA is filed under the name Hevea brasiliensis (rubber tree). Lineage: Eukaryota; Viridiplantae; Streptophyta; Magnoliopsida; Malpighiales; Euphorbiaceae. The record is from RNAcentral.
GGAACAUCUCUAAAUUUCGCGAAAUUUGCCAAACGUUGGCCAACUUCUUCACUUGACACAUUGAGCAAUGGAGGAACUUGUGGUCUCCAUGAAGGCACCGAUAUUCGGAGAGAAGGAGGACCCUCAGGCCUCUUAGCAAUUGCAUCAAUGAGAGUUGGCCAUUGCAUACAAUGAGUGAUACUAAAAUCUAAUAUGUGAACUUUUGUUUGCCUUUCAAUGGCCUUAUAAAUAACACUAUUUGAUGCACAAAAUCCAAAU